Molecule: long non-coding RNA, 1798 nt
Organism: Homo sapiens (human)
Lineage: Eukaryota; Metazoa; Chordata; Mammalia; Primates; Hominidae
Gene: DNAJB8-AS1
Product: DNAJB8 antisense RNA 1
Source: Ensembl
AUAUGGGCCUGCCCCUGCUGGUGAGGUGGCCACAACGGUGUGUGGGAAUGGGAUGCUCUGUGACCCAGGUGGUGUGGGCUGAGUCCCGGGAGCCAAAGGGCAGAGGCAGGAUCAGCCACGGGAUUCCAGCCUUGGUCUUCCGGGGUAAGCUCCACAAAGGCGGGAAAGUCUGUCCCUGUCUAGGACAGUGGCUGGCACACGAGGGCCGUCGGUAAACUCUUGGAUGAACCAGGCUCAGAGACACACAGUGCUCAAGGUCACACAGCGAGUCAGUGAGGGAGGGGAUGUGAAACCAGGGCCAAGGCUGCAGCGGACAGCAAAUCCAAAGAAGUGUUCCACUCAAUUCUGGGAACUCCCAACCCCAGGCUCUGGGGAAGGAGCAGACACACACCAAUGUGCGAAUGCAGCUGCAACACUCGCUGGAAGGAGAGGUGACACUGUCUGGGGCGUCUGGGAAGGCUGGUCAGAAGAGGUGACGCCUUGGCAGGGCUUGGAGAGGGAGGUUCCAGCAGGGUCGGCCUCACACACAUGAAGGGUCUUGGAUGUCGACACUGGACAUCCUUCCCCAGGGAGGUAGUUCAUUCAGUCAUGGAACAUUUCAAGGUGGGAAGAAGGUGUUCAUCACAUGGCUAUGAUCAUGUACCCAUUGCAGACCACCCUGUCCUGGGGGCAUGAGGAGUUCAUCUCCUAAAUCAGUGGUUCUCAACAGGGACAGUCCUCCCUCCCCAGGGGACAUUUGGCAAUGACUGGAGGAGUUGCUACUGGCAUCUCCUGGGUGGAGGCCAGGCAGGGCUGCUGCUGAACAUCCCUGUCUAGUGCACAGGACAGCCUCCACCACAAAGAAUCAUCCAGCCCCAAAUGUCAACAGCACCGAGGUUGAGAACUCUGUUCUAAGCCCUGAAAUUAUCAUUUGACAAGCGCAAUUAUAAUGCAAUGUCUUUUUGAUGCACCAAAGGCAUUAAUGUCUUCAAUGUGAAUAUUUAAAACACACAGGUGACCUGUUUGGUGAUUUAUUUCUUAAUAAAGCAGGAGCCUUGUAACAUGGGAGUGGUUCCAUGCAAAGGGAACAGCAUGCACCAGGCUCAGUGGCUCAGUGGAAAGAGAGCAGGCAUCUGUAGUUGACUACACCUGGGACCGAAGGGAUGGUGGGAAUAGAGCCCAGAGAGGGGCAGGGGCUGCACAAGGCAGGGCUCAGACCCCAGACCACAGAGCAUGGAUUGUGUCCUGGGAGGGGGAGACCUUGAGAAGAUUUAAACAAGGGGAGAAUGGGAUCUAUAGCAUACUCUAGAAAGAUCCCUCAGCAGCAAUGAGAUUCAGUUUUAUACCCACAAAAUUGGUAAAAAUGUCAGUUUGACACUGCCAAGUGUUGGCAAGGAAAUGGAGCAACUGAAAUUCCCACACCCUGCUGGUGGGAACAUACAUUGGAACAGCCAAUUUGGAAAAUCCUUCUAAGGCUUAUGCCCCGAGGGAAACCCUCACACGUGGGAAUAGGGACAAGAACACUCAUUGCUGCACUGUUUAUGGUAGCAACAGACAGGAGUGACCGAAAUGUCCAUCUUAAGGAGAAUGAGCAAAUACCUUGUGUUACAGCUGCACAGGGGACUAUGACACUGCAGUGAGAACGAAGAAACCGACUCCAUACGUGAGCAUGGAGGAGCAGCCCCAGCAUGGCAGUGAGCAGCACAAACCAGUCAUUGAAAGCAUCAUUGUGACACCAUUUAUUGAAAACGUACACACAUGCAGAAUAAUGCGUUAAGGAUUUAUACAUAUAGAGUAAAAGUAUAACAACAUGCAUGGG